AUUCUUCCUAAUUCUGUUUUUUUGCAAAAUAGACGUUAAGCCUAGUCCAACAAUUAUUUACUCCUACGGAUUUUAGAUCAGCAACUUAUCUAAUAUCCAUGGCUAGUCACUUAAAGUGAAGCUCCUCGCUAAAUUACGCAACAACAGCCACUUCAAAAUUUAAGGCAGCUUCGCCUGUCCAACUUAAAGCGACUGUGCCCAAGAAUCUUGAAACAAAACAAUUCUAACAAGAUUUCUUAGCACCGUAGCAACGUGAGAUUUUGCGAUUCUAAAAGAGCCAGGUAUAAUCUUUCUCAAGAAUAUCAUACGGACUUUUUCUCCACUUCGAUCCGCCGUUACGAGUUGUCGCAAUUGACGUGUGUUGGAAGGAUUGUCAAAAGAAUCGACUUAGGUAUGUUAAGGCUAUCUUCUUUCUUUUGGCAUGAUCUAUACGACACAAACGAAACGAGAAAAUGCACAACUUUCAUAAAUGACUCUAUAGAAGUAUUAGAGGUGCAUAUAUUCUUGAAUUUUCAUGUGUCAUAUUAUUCUAUCAUUUAUUUGUGGGUCUCAGAAAAAUACGUAAGUUGGAAAAAAAAAGUUUACUUCAUGAUAUUACUCGAAGGUAUAAUGGUCUUAUGACAUUCCAAGAGAUUUUAUGGACGUACUUCUCAUGCAUUGCAUUCAUGUACAUUGACUCAUGAUCAGAUGGCGUUAUAUAUGCGUAUAUAUGUAUAUAUAUGUAUAUGGAAUAUGGGAAAAGGUUAUGGCGUUAUAUAUGCAGUACCACCUGAUCAGCUGAUAUACGUUGAUGAUUUGUCCACUCUGGCCGAGAUGAUAUGUUGGGAUGCCCUCAGAGGCUUGAUGAUGUUAUAAACGCAUAUACCCAUGCAUGGUAUGACAUUUAUACGCAUAUGCACGACAUUAUAAUAUUAAAUGAUUCACAGAGUUAUUCAUAUAUACAUGUUGAGUCUUUUACUCCAUGUUUCUCUCAUGUCUACUAGUUACUGAUUUUCAUUCCUUACAUACUCGGUACAUUAUUUGUACUGACGUCCCUUUUGUCUGGGGACGCUGCGUUUCAUGCCCGCAGAUCCUGAUAGACAGGUCGAGAGUCCUCCAAGUAGGCUAUCAGCUCAGCGGAAGGUGUUGGUGCGCUCCAUUUGCUCCGGAGUUGCUUCUUUGGUGAGUAUGAUUAGUACAUGUAUUGAUUGGUAUGUCGGGACCCUAUCCCGACCUUUAUGAUAUUAUGUAUUCUUAGAGGCUUGUAGACAGAUGUCAUGUAUACGGGUACUUGUAUGGCCUUGUCGGCCUAUGUUUUGUGUAUAUACAGAAACAUGCCGGUCUUAUAGGCCCGUACUUCAUAUGUAUAAGUUUGUAUUCCCUUAUUCUUUACUCUGGUUCAUUUACCUAUGAUAAAAUGAUAUGAAAGAUACGUUAUGUUGGUACUCGGUUGAAUAAGGUACCGGGUACCCGUCGCGACCCAUCGGUUUGGGUCGUGACACUAUUUUUGAAUGACCAGUCCAAAAACUGGCUAGCCCGUGCUAUUUUUACCUCUUUAACACUUUAGAGCCUCACAAAGUAAAUUGUGCCACAUGUAGGGCCCACCUAGUCCUUUAAUAUUGCAUUUAUGAAAUGGGCCCAAUAGUGAGGUCCACAUAGUCCUUUACUAGUUACCACUACUCGUAUGAAAC
RNAcentral lists this long non-coding RNA (1670 nucleotides) under Nicotiana tabacum (common tobacco). Its description in RNAcentral is "long non-coding RNA (NTAB_LNC008070)". The record is from RNAcentral. Lineage: Eukaryota; Viridiplantae; Streptophyta; Magnoliopsida; Solanales; Solanaceae.